This 2908-nucleotide long non-coding RNA is filed under the name Oncorhynchus kisutch (coho salmon). Its description in RNAcentral is "lncRNA (ENSOKIG00005007705.1)". The record is from RNAcentral. Lineage: Eukaryota; Metazoa; Chordata; Actinopteri; Salmoniformes; Salmonidae.
AUGACCGUGACCGUUGGAUCCUCACAGCCCAGGGCUACUUUAACAAAGUUUAAGACGGACGCUUCACACCAGGGCAGUUAUAGCUGUCUCUACAGAACCCACUCCAACGGCAAAGCCAUCAGCUCCCCUUACAGCAACGUUACUAAAGUGGUCCUGCUUCAGCCCAACAUCUCUCUCAGUCCUCCAAAUGGAGGGAUGUUCUGGGGACUUCAGGGGCCAGAGGUGACCAGGGGCCACAGCUUCUCCAUCAUCUGCUCCAUUCAGCCACAGUAUCCCGGAGGCCUCUUCUAUCUGGACUUCUCUGGUUCCAACAGAACAGAGACUACGCCAGCAGUCAACCACUCUGCCUGCUUCCACUUCCCUGUUGCAGAGUAUAAAGACCAGGGGAAAUACAGCUGCAGCUAUGGAGUCAACAUCUCCACCUGGUCAUUCAGGUCGGCUAAUAGUGAACUAGCCGUCACCAUUAGAGGUAAACUAACACGUGUUUUAAAAUAAAACGUUUUUCAAAAAUGGCUUUUACAUGAUAUUCACCCCUAAGAGAGAAGAAUCACAACGUUGUAACGUAACUUAUCAUCCUUUUUCAUCACUUUCUUUUUGUUUUUAUGUCAUAUGAAUUGGCCAUCGACAAGUCUUGAUCUGUACUGUAGGUCUCAGCCUUGAAAUAUCUACCUUUUCCUCAGCCUCUAUGGUCCCCAUCAUUGCCUCUGGAGGGACUGGUGGGCUAGUAUUCCUGUUUCUGCUUCUGCUUGUCAUCUGUCUAGUCCACAGGAGGACCAGGAGGAGCAGCAAGCCAUCUACAGAGACUGACCAGAGAGAAUGUAAGUGCUAUGACUGUACUGCAAACAAAGGCUGAAUCUGAACUUAAUUUACACCUUGAGCUUGAAAAGUUGAGUUAAGCAGUAUCUCAAAAUUAACUUCAAAGACUUUUGUCCACAUCAUUUCGUCCGGAUGUUUUUUAAAACGUUUUUAAUCCCCAGCGUUUCCUAUUGCGAAUAUUAACGAGCAAAUUGUUACGCAACAGGUAUUGACAACAGACACAACAAAGGCGAGGACGACAAAGUAGAAGAGGAGGACUACGUGAAUGUUGAAAACAUCUGUGACGAGAGAAGUCUGGAGAGCGGGAAGGGGGAAAAGAGGAAUGGGAAGAAAAAAGGGCGCCGCUCCGGGAACAAGGAGGAUGUCUGUUUCAACGAGGAGGGGGGUGAAAGGGAAGGAAACGUUCACAGAAAGCUUGUUUGUGGUGGGUCUCGUGAGAAAGUGAAUAGUGCAGACGACGCUGAAGAUUAUGGCAAUGUCUCUGUCUAUGACAAUGUUGUAGCGCAUGACGUGAACCAAGACAUUUAUCAAAACUAUUAGGAGGAGUAACAGUGGACUGCGUGUCACUAAAGUAACUCAUUGGCAUCAACACAUUCAUGUGUAAAUAAAGUUAAGUGACAAUAAGUCAGAUGCAAUAGUAUAGCAACUACGGUUGACACUUAAACGAGACAUAUGACAUAAUGGUAUGGUAUCUAUUUUAGUUCGCUUUGUGUAACCAAUCGAAAUGUUCAGCAUAUUUGAUCCAUUGGGUCAAAUCCGAACUGUCGUUUUUUGUAUGCGUCGGUGGGGUGUCACUUUCUGUGUCUUUGAUCAGUUCCGGUGUUGUUGAGGAACUAGCAUUAUGUAUAAACUGUUGGUUGAUUGCACUAAAAUAAACAGGACUCUCAUUGCAUGCUUUUGAGUUGAACUUUUAUGUCUCCACUUCUUCUUUGAAGAGGAGUAGAAGGUGUUCGACCAAGUGAGAAAAGGUCCAACCAUAAAAAAUAAGAUGAGCAUUGGGAAGUGAAAGAUGUGACUCUCGACUCACUGUUUUGGGACUUUGCCUUCCUAAUCCACUUCCGUAGGUCAAGCUCUCACUUGAGAUGUGCCCUGUAUGUACAAUCAUACAGGGCACAUGGGCUUUACGGAGAACACAACCAUCUACCCUAGAGUGCCAGAGGAGCUGUGCACAGGAAAUGCGUCCUCGUAUAGAGUAAAAUCUUACAUUCGCCAGACCGUCUGCGACAGAGACUGGUCAUCACACGUUUUACCAGAAAGCUUGUUCGGUUCUACCAGAGAAAAUACCUUCCAUUAUUUCUGACAUGAAGACCAAUAUAGUGAGAAGUCUCUUUUAUCUGACAAUGGCUGAGUUUAACUUGCAAAACAUGCAAUUCAAUUUCAUUUCUGUCAACAAAGGGGGAACACUGCUUUGCUUGAAAUUAAUGUUUUUAACGGCUGCUUAUUGGAUUAAAGUACUCAGGGAUGAAUCCUACAUUCAGUUGAGAAAUGUGUAUCAAAUGUUCAUGUCACUGUUUAAAAACUUAGUCAAUAGUCAAAUUACCUAUCAAUGGUUCAGUAAAGGGGUGGAUUUUCUCAAUCAUAUCAUUGAGCAAAAAGGAAAGACUGACUCCUGCCAGAUAAUUGAUAAAGGCAAUUCAUUUAAUAUUGAUUGUUUAUGCAAACACAUUUUUAAUACAUUUCAAUUCAGAAUACAAUAUCCAUCCAAUCCAUCCAGUAAAAAAACUGAAGCACAGAUUGGUCACUUUUUAAAAAUAAUUUUGCACACAGAAACUAGAGGCUAUGAAUAACUUGGUCCAAAAGAAUGGCACCGAUGGCAACGAUUGCCAUAUGGGGCCGCUUUUAUAAGCAGUCUCACUUAAACCUUAAUAUCCAUCACCCCAUUUGACCUAGAGACUUGAAACGUUGUAUUUGGUUGUCUUUCCUCAUGCUGAACACAUUUUCUCUGAAGGACCCAUAGAUUUUCAUCAACCUUGAACAUUUUGGAAAACCUUUGAAAAACGUAUUCUCAUGAUGAACCAUAGACCCAAAUAACACCAAAUGUUACAAUGGUAAGUCUCUAAACUUAACUUGUGGUUGUCUUAGCUGAUUAGCG